AGUGAACGCUGGCGGUAGGCCUAACACAUGCAAGUCGAACGGCGGCACAGUAAGAGCUUGCUCUUACGGGUGGCGAGUGGCGGACGGGUGAGGAAUACAUCGGAAUCUACUUUUUCGUGGGGGAUAACGUAGGGAAACUUACGCUAAUACCGCAUACGACCUACGGGUGAAAGCAGGGGAUCUUCGGACCUUGCGCGAUUGAAUGAGCCGAUGUCGGAUUAGCUAGUUGGCGGGGUAAAGGCCCACCAAGGCGACGAUCCGUAGCUGGUCUGAGAGGAUGAUCAGCCACACUGGAACUGAGACACGGUCCAGACUCCUACGGGAGGCAGCAGUGGGGAAUAUUGGACAAUGGGCGCAAGCCUGAACCAGCCAUACCGCGUGGGUGAAGAAGGCCUUCGGGUUGUAAAGCCCUUUUGUUGGGAAAGAAAAGCAGCAGGUUAAUACCCCGCUGUUCUGACGGUACCCAAAGAAUAAGCACCGGCUAACUUCGUG
Molecule: ribosomal RNA, 492 nt
Filed under: uncultured bacterium
Lineage: Bacteria
Description: partial 16S ribosomal RNA
Rfam family: Bacterial small subunit ribosomal RNA
Source: RNAcentral